UAUCAGUCAUGCAUAGCAUAUCAAUAAGCGGAGGAAAAGAAACUAACAAGGAUUCCCUUAGUAACGGCGAGUGAAGCGGGAAGAGCUCAAAUUUGAAAUCUUCAAGGUUUUACCUUGACGAAUUGUAGUUUAUAGAAGUGUUUUCUGUUGGAGUUUUGGUAAAAGUUCUUUGGAAUAGGACAUCAUAGAGGGUGAGAAUCCCGUAUUUGACCAUUAUCUUCCAGCUGUGUGAUACACUUUCAAAGAGUCGGAUUGUUUGGGAAUGCAGUCCAAAAUGGGUGGUAAAUUUCAUCUAAAGCUAAAUAUUGGCGAGAGACCGAUAGCGAACAAGUACCGUGAGGGAAAGAUGAAAAGAACUUUGAAAAGAGAGUUAAACAGUACGUGAAAUUGUCAAAAGGGAAGCGUUUGACACCAGUGUUGUUUUUCCGAAAAUCAAUUACGAAUGUUUUAGUUUUUGAGAAGUUAUGGACUUCAUCGGCUUGCUUCUCUCUUUAUGAAACUUUCUUAAUGCACUUUUCGGUUAACAAGUCAACAUCAAUUUCUUUUGUUGUAAAAGGGUAUGAGGAAGGUGGCUUUCUUUUCGGAGAAGGUGUUUAUAGCCUUGUGCCUCUGCAAUCGGAGAGAUUGAGGUCUGCAGCGUAGAUCCUUCGGGGUUAGGAUACAUUUGUGCUAAGUUAUAGCUUUUCAUAGACAACUUGUUGACUAUGUUUAGUCUUGUAGCUUACUCGCUGACGCUAUUUUACCUACGCUUAGGAUGUUGAUCUCUCACAGUCGAGC
RNAcentral lists this ribosomal RNA (777 nucleotides) under uncultured Neocallimastigales. RNAcentral describes it as "partial large subunit ribosomal RNA". It matches the Rfam family "Eukaryotic large subunit ribosomal RNA", at positions 22 to 645 of the family's 3401-position model. Lineage: Eukaryota; Fungi; Neocallimastigomycota; Neocallimastigomycetes; Neocallimastigales. The record is from RNAcentral.